UUACGGUCAAAUCACGCUGAAAACACCGGUUCUCGUUCGAUCACCGAAGUUAAGCAUCGUAGAGCCAGGUCAGUUCUUCCGUUUUAGGGUUAGAUGGGGGACCGAGCGGAAAUUGGGAACACCUGGUACUGUA
Non-coding RNA from Acanthosepion pharaonis, 133 nucleotides. The record is from the annotation of a GenBank genome assembly. NCBI's taxonomy places the organism in Eukaryota, Metazoa, Mollusca, Cephalopoda, Sepiida, Sepiidae.